This 119-nucleotide ribosomal RNA is filed under the name Naegleria gruberi. The record is from RNAcentral. Lineage: Eukaryota; Heterolobosea; Eutetramitea; Acrasida; Naegleriidae.
GGCUACGGCCAUAUCAUGAUGAAUGCACCUCAUCCCGUCCGAUUUGAGAAGUUAAGCAUCGUCGAGCCACAUCAGUACUGAGGUUGGAGACAACUUGGGAACCUGUGGUGCUGUAGUCU